Molecule: ribosomal RNA, 433 nt
Filed under: uncultured bacterium
Lineage: Bacteria
Description: partial 16S ribosomal RNA
Rfam family: Bacterial small subunit ribosomal RNA
Source: RNAcentral
AACGAACGCUGGCGGCAUGCCUAACACAUGCAAGUCGAACGAGACCUUCGGGUCUAGUGGCGCACGGGUGCGUAACGCGUGGGAAUCUGCCCUUGGGUUCGGGAUAACAGUUGGAAACGACUGCUAAUACCGGAUGAUGACUUCGGUCCAAAGAUUUAUCGCCCAGGGAUGAGCCCGCGCCGGAUUAGCUAGUUGGUGAGGUAAGAGCUCACCAAGGCGACGAUCCGUAGCUGGUCUGAGAGGAUGAUCAGCCACACUGGGACUGAGACACGGCCCAGACUCCUACGGGAGGCAGCAGUGGGGAAUAUUGGACAAUGGGCGAAAGCCUGAUCCAGCAAUGCCGCGUGAGUGAUGAAGGCCUUAGGGUUGUAAAGCUCUUUUACCCGGGAUGAUAAUGACAGUACCGGGAGAAUAAGCCCCGGCUAACUCCGUG